Molecule: ribosomal RNA, 1368 nt
Filed under: uncultured bacterium
Lineage: Bacteria
Description: bacterial SSU rRNA
Rfam family: Bacterial small subunit ribosomal RNA
Source: RNAcentral
GACGAACGCCGGCGGCGUGCCUAAUACAUGCAAGUUGAGCGCUGAAGGUUGGUACUUGUACCAACUGGAUGAGCAGCGAACGGGUGAGUAACGCGUGGGGAAUCUGCCUUUGAGCGGGGGACAACAUUUGGAAACGAAUGCUAAUACCGCAUAAAAACUUUAAACACAAGUUUUAAGUUUGAAAGAUGCAAUUGCAUCACUCAAAGAUGAUCCCGCGUUGUAUUAGCUAGUUGGUGAGGUAAAGGCUCACCAAGGCGAUGAUACAUAGCCGACCUGAGAGGGUGAUCGGCCACAUUGGGACUGAGACACGGCCCAAACUCCUACGGGAGGCAGCAGUAGGGAAUCUUCGGCAAUGGACGAAAGUCUGACCGAGCAACGCCGCGUGAGUGAUGAAGGUUUUCGGAUCGUAAAACUCUGUUGGUAGAGAAGAACGUUGGUGAGAGUGGAAAGCUCAUCAAGUGACGGUAACUACCCAGAAAGGGACGGCUAACUACGUGCCAGCAGCCGCGGUAAUACGUAGGUCCCGAGCGUUGUCCGGAUUUAUUGGGCGUAAAGCGAGCGCAGGUGGUUUAUUAAGUCUGGUGUAAAAGGCAGUGGCUCAACCAUUGUAUGCAUUGGAAACUGGUAGACUUGAGUGCAGGAGAGGAGAGUGGAAUUCCAUGUGUAGCGGUGAAAUGCGUAGAUAUAUGGAGGAACACCGGUGGCGAAAGCGGCUCUCUGGCCUGUAACUGACACUGAGGCUCGAAAGCGUGGGGAGCAAACAGGAUUAGAUACCCUGGUAGUCCACGCCGUAAACGAUGAGUGCUAGAUGUAGGGAGCUAUAAGUUCUCUGUAUCGCAGCUAACGCAAUAAGCACUCCGCCUGGGGAGUACGACCGCAAGGUUGAAACUCAAAGGAAUUGACGGGGGCCCGCACAAGCGGUGGAGCAUGUGGCUUAAUUCGAAGCAACGCGAAGAACCUUACCAGGUCUUGACAUACUCGUGCUAUUCCUAGAGAUAGGAAGUUCCUUCGGGACACGGGAUACAGGUGGUGCAUGGUUGUCGUCAGCUCGUGUCGUGAGAUGUUGGGUUAAGUCCCGCAACGAGCGCAACCCCUAUUGUUAGUUGCCACCAUUAAGUUGGGCACUCUAACGAGACUGCCGGUGAUAAACCGGAGGAAGGUGGGGAUGACGUCGAAUCAUCAUGCCCCUUAUGACCUGGGCUACACACGUGCUACAAUGGAUGGUACAACGAGUCGCGAGACAGUGAUGUUUAGCUAAUCUCUUAAAACCAUUCUCAGUUCGGAUUGUAGGCUGCAACUCGCCUACAUGAAGUCGGAAUCGCUAGUAAUCGCGGAUCAGCACGCCGCGGUGAAUACGUUCCCGGGCCU